RNAcentral lists this ribosomal RNA (112 nucleotides) under Caerostris darwini. Lineage: Eukaryota; Metazoa; Arthropoda; Arachnida; Araneae; Araneidae. The record is from RNAcentral.
AACGGUCAUACCAUGCUGAAUAUACCGGUUCUCGUUAGAUCACCGAAGUCAAGCAUCAUUGGGUGCGGUCAGUACCCAGGUGGGUGACCACCUGGGAACACCGUGUGCCGUU